UGCGCACCUUGUUUUCUCCAAAGACG
Molecule: non-coding RNA, 26 nt
Filed under: Mus musculus (house mouse)
Lineage: Eukaryota; Metazoa; Chordata; Mammalia; Rodentia; Muridae
Source: RNAcentral